RNAcentral lists this ribosomal RNA (1225 nucleotides) under Coelastrum sp. F187. RNAcentral describes it as "23S ribosomal RNA". The record is from RNAcentral. Lineage: Eukaryota; Viridiplantae; Chlorophyta; Chlorophyceae; Sphaeropleales; Scenedesmaceae.
CAAAUAAAAAACCUUAAAACUCUCGUUUUUGAACAAUGUACCGAUCAAAAGGUAGUAGUCUACUACCAAAAAAGAGACAUGGUAAAACACAACUUUCUGGCUUAAGAUGCUUUCAGCCAUACUGUUUGCACACUUAGCUGCUCAGCAAUGCACUUUGGAAGCACAACUGAUAGACCAGAGGUGUGUACUUUCAGGUCCUUUCGUACUAAAAAGCCAAUGUCACUGUCUAUGAAACUACCACAGAGAAGAGCCGUGCUGUGUCACCACGCACUGAACCCAGCUCACGUACCGCUUUAAUAGACGAACAGUCUAACCCUUCUUACCUUCUUCAGCAAGAGGAUGCGAUGAGCCGACCUCCAAAGUGCUGGUUCACUACCGUAGACUUUCGUCACUUGAAAAAGCUCACAUCUUUCGACCUUCUCCUUUCUCAAGUGUGUAUAUUUUACACCCUGCUUGGCUUGUGUGCCUAACAGUCAGGCAUGGUUGCUGGGUUGUCAGACUCUAAACGGCAAAAACAGUUAGACCAUACCUUGACACACCCCCGAUAUUUUUUUGGAGGUUUCCGCCCCAGACAAACUCCCAAGCUAAAAGAUUUUUAUGCUGUCUAAUAAAGUCGCCAAAAAGUGUUGGUACUUAGAAAAACAUAGACUUCUCUAAAAAAGCUUUUGAAGAAACCAAUGGUGGUAUCUCACUGACACAUUCAUUCAUUCUGUCUUUUUUGAAGAAAGAAUAAAUGAAUGCUCCCACCUAUACUGAAAAAGGUGUUUUCAAAAAGCAGUUUUAGCUUAGAGUAAAGGUGUAUAGGGUCUCAUUGUCCCGUGGCAGUUUUCUCGCCUCUUCACGAGAAUGUCAAAUUCGCCCACACCUCGGUAGAGACAGUAGGUGGAUGAUGACGCCAUUCAUGCGGGUCGACAAUUAUUCGACAAGGAAUUUCGCUACCUUAGAACCCUUAGAGUUAGGGCUGCCGUUCACCGGUCCUUCAGAUUCACUGCGUGAACAAUAAAUUCUUAUCUUCCGGCACUGGGCAGGCGUCAGGCCUUAUACUGAGUAUUUCUACGUGGCAAAGCCCUGUGAUAUGGAUAGGUAGGCUCUCUCGAGCUUUCCCCCCGUUAGAACCGUGCGUGCGGCUUUCACCGCACACGGCUCAAACACUCACUCGACAAAGAUCCGGAGGGCGCUAGCGCACCCCAUGAACUCAUUAGACCACUUUUGAGUCAUUUAUGGU